Molecule: non-coding RNA, 1253 nt
Organism: Paramuricea clavata
Lineage: Eukaryota; Metazoa; Cnidaria; Anthozoa; Malacalcyonacea; Plexauridae
Source: the annotation of a GenBank genome assembly
AUUCGAAAUUUGAAAUAAUUUAUACUGUGGAGAGAGAUGGUUCGCCGAAAUGUUCCGUGUAUUUGACGUCUUUUUAGUGUGGAUUUUAACUCUGUUUUUACAAAUUCAAGGAGGUGGAGGUAUGGUAAACUAACUAUACUCAAUUCAUAUGUUAGAUACCGACUAAAUAGUCCGUUCACUGCGAUUUUCUAGGUCUCUGUUCACCGGCAAAACGAGCCGAAUGUGGGGCAGUUUGGCGGACGUGUGUAAACCAACGAUGUGAAGCAUGUUUUUUAGAGAUUGACGGUGAAUGUUAUAGUAAGUUACAUAUUUUAAAUAUAUGCCGGUUGUAUUUUAUUUUAUGCUACACUUCAACGGGUUGAGUAGUUUCUGAAAUAUGCUUGAAUAUUAGUAUUAUCUAAAGGCUUUUAUACAACUUCCUUUGCUGAAACACAAGAGGAACAGUAUUGAAAUUUGCAUAAUGUCAUGUUGAUCUUAAUAGUAUGCUUCGCUUAGCUUGGAACUUGUUUUAUUAAAUCGCUCUAUGUGUACAUUAGAAGUUUUCGAUUUCCUUUAAGAUCGGUCAGUUUUCGAUUUCGUUUGCCGGUGUGUUGGGAUAGAGCAAAUGUACAGCUUUUUAGCUGUCUUCUCUAGCAAGAUUAAUAUUCAGUUUAUGUUUUGUUUGCAGCUGCUCGUAAAUGUUGCUAAAUGAAUGCAGCUGACAAAUUUGCAACAUACUUGAUCGCAAAUAGAAAAGGGAAUAUUUUAUGUGUUUUUAGAACGAUGAAACGUAACGAAAUGUGAAAUAUUGCUUGUAACCUGUACAAUGUUUUGAUACAUUAUACUGGAUUAUUAAAAUCAUAAAUCGAAACUUCAGGGGGCGAAUGUGCGGAGGCGUUUGUGAAAUCUCUAAGCUGUAGAUCAAUAUAAGGGCAUACAACAUAUAUAAAGGCAUUCCUUUUUCAUAUGCUACAAAAUUUAUUACUUUAGAACAUGUGUUUGAGCUUUUCUUAUGAUAAUAUCAGUUAAUACUUUGUAAUCGACCACAAAAUUCAUUGCCGUAGGUGUGUAGCGACCUUUCUUUGUGAUGGAUUGAGGAACGUCUGUAUAUAGACAGUCUUUGUUGUCAACAAACACCUUUGUCUUAGACUGUUGUUGUAUCUUCUGUACUUAUGUUUUCAAGUGGCAUGAGCUUGUACUGGCUUCUCUUUGUUGUCAAGCCUGCCACAAAGUUCACACUUCGGGGCUCAGCUUGUAGCCCACAUCCAGGGCCG